This 490-nucleotide ribosomal RNA is filed under the name uncultured bacterium. RNAcentral's name for it is "partial 16S ribosomal RNA". It matches the Rfam family "Bacterial small subunit ribosomal RNA", at positions 30 to 507 of the family's 1533-position model. The record is from RNAcentral.
AUUGAACGCUGGCGGCAGGCCUAACACAUGCAAGUCGAACGGUAACAGGAAGCAGCUUGCUGCUUUGCUGACGAGUGGCGGACGGGUGAGUAAUGUCUGGGAAACUGCCUGAUGGAGGGGGAUAACUACUGGAAACGGUAGCUAAUACCGCAUAACGUCGCAAGACCAAAGAGGGGGACCUUCGGGCCUCUUGCCAUCGGAUGUGCCCAGAUGGGAUUAGCUUGUUGGUGGGGUAACGGCUCACCAAGGCGACGAUCCCUAGCUGGUCUGAGAGGAUGACCAGCCACACUGGAACUGAGACACGGUCCAGACUCCUACGGGAGGCAGCAGUGGGGAAUAUUGCACAAUGGGCGCAAGCCCGAUGCAGCCAUGCCGCGUGUAUGAAGAAGGCCUUCGGGUUGUAAAGUACUUUCAGCGGGGAGGAAGGGAGUAAAGUUAAUACCUUUACUCAUUGACGUUACCCGCAGAAGAAGCACCGGCUAACUCCGUG